Non-coding RNA from Lonchura striata (white-rumped munia), 424 nucleotides. The record is from RefSeq and is a predicted model, not a curated record. NCBI's taxonomy places the organism in Eukaryota, Metazoa, Chordata, Aves, Passeriformes, Estrildidae.
AGUCAGCUGCCAAAUGUUAAAGAACUGGCACCUGCAGAGCGAAAAGUCAUCAUGGUCCCACUUCAGUAUCUACUGGUCAUGGAAGGAAGACUGAGGGGAAAAAAUGUGUGACCUUAUUCAGAGGCCUGCUUCCUCCAUGAGCAAAAAUAGAGAAACUUUCAUACAAUUAUCACAGGGAUUCAAAUGGAAUGAAGCUAAAGAUGGGAUAUUUCAAAAGCAAAUCAGAGGUAUGUGGAAUAGGAGACUUCUUUCAUCCAUUUCUUGCCGGAAAUGGUUAUAAGCCUCUUUACGUCAACUCCAAACUCUUUCUUCUUUAAACUUUAUCAGUACUGUAGUUCAGUUUUUCAGAAAAAAAUCCUAGAUAAAUGUACUGCAAACCACUGCAGUUGUAGUUUCCAUUUUAAAAGCAUGAGUUUAAUACCAA